GUACGCUUCUUUUUCCACCGGAGCUUGCUCCACCGGAAAAAGAGGAGUGGCGAACGGGUGAGUAACACGUGGGUAACCUGCCCAUCAGAAGGGGAUAACACUUGGAAACAGGUGCUAAUACCGUAUAACAAUCGAAACCGCAUGGUUUUGAUUUGAAAGGCGCUUUCGGGUGUCGCUGAUGGAUGGACCCGCGGUGCAUUAGCUAGUUGGUGAGGUAACGGCUCACCAAGGCCACGAUGCAUAGCCGACCUGAGAGGGUGAUCGGCCACAUUGGGACUGAGACACGGCCCAAACUCCUACGGGAGGCAGCAGUAGGGAAUCUUCGGCAAUGGACGAAAGUCUGACCGAGCAACGCCGCGUGAGUGAAGAAGGUUUUCGGAUCGUAAAACUCUGUUGUUAGAGAAGAACAAGGAUGAGAGUAACUGUUCAUCCCUUGACGGUAUCUAACCAGAAAGCCACGGCUAACUACGUGCCAGCAGCCGCGGUAAUACGUAGGUGGCAAGCGUUGUCCGGAUUUAUUGGGCGUAAAGCGAGCGCAGGCGGUUUCUUAAGUCUGAUGUGAAAGCCCCCGGCUCAACCGGGGAGGGUCAUUGGAAACUGGGAGACUUGAGUGCAGAAGAGGAGAGUGGAAUUCCAUGUGUAGCGGUGAAAUGCGUAGAUAUAUGGAGGAACACCAGUGGCGAAGGCGGCUCUCUGGUCUGUAACUGACGCUGAGGCUCGAAAGCGUGGGGAGCAAACAGGAUUAGAUACCCUGGUAGUCCACGCCGUAAACGAUGAGUGCUAAGUGUUGGAGGGUUUCCGCCCUUCAGUGCUGCAGCUAACGCAUUAAGCACUCCGCCUGGGGAGUACGACCGCAAGGUUGAAACUCAAAGGAAUUGACGGGGGCCCGCACAAGCGGUGGAGCAUGUGGUUUAAUUCGAAG
This 922-nucleotide ribosomal RNA is filed under the name Enterococcus sp. RNAcentral describes it as "bacterial SSU rRNA". It matches the Rfam family "Bacterial small subunit ribosomal RNA", at positions 64 to 956 of the family's 1533-position model. The record is from RNAcentral. Lineage: Bacteria; Bacillati; Bacillota; Bacilli; Lactobacillales; Enterococcaceae.